GCGCCAUGAGCCCAGUUUGCGAAUCGUCACUUGUGAUGAAUUGUGGUAUGCAGGCCUUUUUGUUCAGUUGAUGGACUAAGUCCCCUGGAACGGGGCAGCUGAGAGGGUGAGACUCCCGUGUGUCUGUUAGCGCGAGAACUGGCCAACGAGUCGAGUUGUUUGGGAUUGCAGCUCUAAGCGGGUGGUAAAUUCCAUCCAAGGCUAAAUAUUGGUGAGAGACCGAUAGCGUACAAGUACCGUGAGGGAAAGAUGCAAAGCCGCGCGAGAGCGCUGUCAAAGAGUACCUGAAAUUGCUGAAAAGGAAGCGAAGGAAACCAGUGUAAGCCUUUCGGCACUUCCCCGGCUGCUUGCUGCUGGGGCGCU
Molecule: ribosomal RNA, 363 nt
Filed under: Cymatopleura solea
Lineage: Eukaryota; Bacillariophyta; Bacillariophyceae; Surirellales; Surirellaceae
Description: eukaryotic LSU rRNA
Rfam family: Eukaryotic large subunit ribosomal RNA
Source: RNAcentral